GGUUAAGCGACUAAGCGUACACGGUGGAUGCCCUGGCAGUCAGAGGCGAUGAAGGACGUGCUAAUCUGCGAUAAGCGUCGGUAAGGUGAUAUGAACCGUUAUAACCGGCGAUUUCCGAAUGGGGAAACCCAGUGUGAUUCGUCACACUAUCAUUAACUGAAUCCAUAGGUUAAUGAGGCGAACCGGGGGAACUGAAACAUCUAAGUACCCCGAGGAAAAGAAAUCAACCGAGAUUCCCCCAGUAGCGGCGAGCGAACGGGGAGCAGCCCAGAGCCUGAAUCAGUGUGUGUGUUAGUGGAAGCGUCUGGAAAGGCGCGCGAUACAGGGUGACAGCCCCGUACACAAAAAUGCACAUGCUGUGAGCUCGAUGAGUAGGGCGGGACACGUGGUAUCCUGUCUGAAUAUGGGGGGACCAUCCUCCAAGGCUAAAUACUCCUGACUGACCGAUAGUGAACCAGUACCGUGAGGGAAAGGCGAAAAGAACCCCGGCGAGGGGAGUGAAAAAGAACCUGAAACCGUGUACGUACAAGCAGUGGGAGCACGCUUAGGCGUGUGACUGCGUACCUUUUGUAUAAUGGGUCAGCGACUUAUAUUCUGUAGCAAGGUUAACCGAAUAGGGGAGCCGAAGGGAAACCGAGUCUUAACUGGGCGUUAAGUUGCAGGGUAUAGACCCGAAACCCGGUGAUCUAGCCAUGGGCAGGUUGAAGGUUGGGUAACACUAACUGGAGGACCGAACCGACUAAUGUUGAAAAAUUAGCGGAUGACUUGUGGCUGGGGGUGAAAGGCCAAUCAAACCGGGAGAUAGCUGGUUCUCCCCGAAAGCUAUUUAGGUAGCGCCUCGUGAAUUCAUCUCCGGGGGUAGAGCACUGUUUCGGCAAGGGGGUCAUCCCGACUUACCAACCCGAUGCAAACUGCGAAUACCGGAGAAUGUUAUCACGGGAGACACACGGCGGGUGCUAACGUCCGUCGUGAAGAGGGAAACAACCCAGACCGCCAGCUAAGGUCCCAAAGUCAUGGUUAAGUGGGAAACGAUGUGGGAAGGCCCAGACAGCCAGGAUGUUGGCUUAGAAGCAGCCAUCAUUUAAAGAAAGCGUAAUAGCUCACUGGUCGAGUCGGCCUGCGCGGAAGAUGUAACGGGGCUAAACCAUGCACCGAAGCUGCGGCAGCGACGCUUAUGCGUUGUUGGGUAGGGGAGCGUUCUGUAAGCCUGCGAAGGUGUGCUGUGAGGCAUGCUGGAGGUAUCAGAAGUGCGAAUGCUGACAUAAGUAACGAUAAAGCGGGUGAAAAGCCCGCUCGCCGGAAGACCAAGGGUUCCUGUCCAACGUUAAUCGGGGCAGGGUGAGUCGACCCCUAAGGCGAGGCCGAAAGGCGUAGUCGAUGGGAAACAGGUUAAUAUUCCUGUACUUGGUGUUACUGCGAAGGGGGGACGGAGAAGGCUAUGUUGGCCGGGCGACGGUUGUCCCGGUUUAAGCGUGUAGGCUGGUUUUCCAGGCAAAUCCGGAAAACUAAGGCUGAGGCGUGAUGACGAGGCACUACGGUGCUGAAGCAACAAAUGCCCUGCUUCCAGGAAAAGCCUCUAAGCAUCAGGUAACAUCAAAUCGUACCCCAAACCGACACAGGUGGUCAGGUAGAGAAUACCAAGGCGCUUGAGAGAACUCGGGUGAAGGAACUAGGCAAAAUGGUGCCGUAACUUCGGGAGAAGGCACGCUGAUAUGUAGGUGAAGCGACUUGCUCGUGGAGCUGAAAUCAGUCGAAGAUACCAGCUGGCUGCAACUGUUUAUUAAAAACACAGCACUGUGCAAACACGAAAGUGGACGUAUACGGUGUGACGCCUGCCCGGUGCCGGAAGGUUAAUUGAUGGGGUCAGCGCAAGCGAAGCUCUUGAUCGAAGCCCCGGUAAACGGCGGCCGUAACUAUAACGGUCCUAAGGUAGCGAAAUUCCUUGUCGGGUAAGUUCCGACCUGCACGAAUGGCGUAAUGAUGGCCAGGCUGUCUCCACCCGAGACUCAGUGAAAUUGAACUCGCUGUGAAGAUGCAGUGUACCCGCGGCAAGACGGAAAGACCCCGUGAACCUUUACUAUAGCUUGACACUGAACAUUGAGCCUUGAUGUGUAGGAUAGGUGGGAGGCUUUGAAGUGUGGACGCCAGUCUGCAUGGAGCCGACCUUGAAAUACCACCCUUUAAUGUUUGAUGUUCUAACGUGGACCCGUGAUCCGGGUUGCGGACAGUGUCUGGUGGGUAGUUUGACUGGGGCGGUCUCCUCCUAAAGAGUAACGGAGGAGCACGAAGGUUGGCUAAUCCUGGUCGGACAUCAGGAGGUUAGUGCAAUGGCAUAAGCCAGCUUGACUGCGAGCGUGACGGCGCGAGCAGGUGCGAAAGCAGGUCAUAGUGAUCCGGUGGUUCUGAAUGGAAGGGCCAUCGCUCAACGGAUAAAAGGUACUCCGGGGAUAACAGGCUGAUACCGCCCAAGAGUUCAUAUCGACGGCGGUGUUUGGCACCUCGAUGUCGGCUCAUCACAUCCUGGGGCUGAAGUAGGUCCCAAGGGUAUGGCUGUUCGCCAUUUAAAGUGGUACGCGAGCUGGGUUUAGAACGUCGUGAGACAGUUCGGUCCCUAUCUGCCGUGGGCGCUGGAGAAUUGAGGGGGGCUGCUCCUAGUACGAGAGGACCGGAGUGGACGCAUCACUGGUGUUCGGGUUGUCAUGCCAAUGGCACUGCCCGGUAGCUAAAUGCGGAAGAGAUAAGUGCUGAAAGCAUCUAAGCACGAAACUUGCCCCGAGAUGAGUUCUCCCUGACUCCUUGAGAGUCCUGAAGGAACGUUGAAGACGACGACGUUGAUAGGCCGGGUGUGUAAGCGCAGCGAUGCGUUGAGCUAACCGGUACUAAUGAACCGUGAGGCUUAACCUU
Molecule: ribosomal RNA, 2904 nt
Filed under: Escherichia coli
Lineage: Bacteria; Pseudomonadati; Pseudomonadota; Gammaproteobacteria; Enterobacterales; Enterobacteriaceae
Description: 23S ribosomal RNA
Rfam family: Bacterial large subunit ribosomal RNA
Source: RNAcentral